GAUGAGCCAGAAUUGGCACCUUGUCUUUAAAUAAGGUGCAAAAUGAUUUUAACUGAAGAGUUUGAUCAUGGCUCAGAUUGAACGCUGGCGGCAGGCUUAACACAUGCAAGUCGAGCGGAGAGAGGUAGCUUGCUACUGAUCUUAGCGGCGGACGGGUGAGUAAUGCUUAGGAAUCUGCCUAUUAGUGGGGGACAACAUCUCGAAAGGGAUGCUAAUACCGCAUACGUCCUACGGGAGAAAGCAGGGGAUCUUCGGACCUUGCGCUAAUAGAUGAGCCUAAGUCGGAUUAGCUAGUUGGUGGGGUAAAGGCCUACCAAGGCGACGAUCUGUAGCGGGUCUGAGAGGAUGAUCCGCCACACUGGGACUGAGACACGGCCCAGACUCCUACGGGAGGCAGCAGUGGGGAAUAUUGGACAAUGGGGGGAACCCUGAUCCAGCCAUGCCGCGUGUGUGAAGAAGGCCUUAUGGUUGUAAAGCACUUUAAGCGAGGAGGAGGCUACUUUAGAUAAUACCUAGAGAUAGUGGACGUUACUCGCAGAAUAAGCACCGGCUAACUCUGUGCCAGCAGCCGCGGUAAUACAGAGGGUGCAAGCGUUAAUCGGAUUUACUGGGCGUAAAGCGCGCGUAGGCGGCUAAUUAAGUCAAAUGUGAAAUCCCCGAGCUUAACUUGGGAAUUGCAUUCGAUACUGGUUAGCUAGAGUGUGGGAGAGGAUGGUAGAAUUCCAGGUGUAGCGGUGAAAUGCGUAGAGAUCUGGAGGAAUACCGAUGGCGAAGGCAGCCAUCUGGCCUAACACUGACGCUGAGGUGCGAAAGCAUGGGGAGCAAACAGGAUUAGAUACCCUGGUAGUCCAUGCCGUAAACGAUGUCUACUAGCCGUUGGGGCCUUUGAGGCUUUAGUGGCGCAGCUAACGCGAUAAGUAGACCGCCUGGGGAGUACGGUCGCAAGACUAAAACUCAAAUGAAUUGACGGGGGGCCGCACAAGCGGUGGAGCAUGUGGUUUAAUUCGAUGCAACGCGAAGAACCUUACCUGGCCUUGACAUAGUAAGAACUUUCCAGAGAUGGAUUGGUGCCUUCGGGAACUUACAUACAGGUGCUGCAUGGCUGUCGUCAGCUCGUGUCGUGAGAUGUUGGGUUAAGUCCCGCAACGAGCGCAACCCUUUUCCUUAUUUGCCAGCGAGUAAUGUCGGGAACUUUAAGGAUACUGCCAGUGACAAACUGGAGGAAGGCGGGGACGACGUCAAGUCAUCAUGGCCCUUACGGCCAGGGCUACACACGUGCUACAAUGGUCGGUACAAAGGGUUGCUACACAGCGAUGUGAUGCUAAUCUCAAAAAGCCGAUCGUAGUCCGGAUUGGAGUCUGCAACUCGACUCCAUGAAGUCGGAAUCGCUAGUAAUCGCGGAUCAGAAUGCCGCGGUGAAUACGUUCCCGGGCCUUGUACACACCGCCCGUCACACCAUGGGAGUUUGUUGCACCAGAAGUAGCUAGCCUAACUGCAAAGAGGGCGGUUACCACGGUGUGGCCGAUGACUGGGGUGAAGUCGUAACAAGGUAGCCGUAGGGGAACCUGCGGCUGGAUCACCUCCUUAA
RNAcentral lists this ribosomal RNA (1588 nucleotides) under Acinetobacter seifertii. RNAcentral's name for it is "bacterial SSU rRNA". It matches the Rfam family "Bacterial small subunit ribosomal RNA". The record is from RNAcentral. Lineage: Bacteria; Pseudomonadati; Pseudomonadota; Gammaproteobacteria; Moraxellales; Moraxellaceae.